This 71-nucleotide unclassified non-coding RNA is filed under the name Salibacterium qingdaonense. The record is from RNAcentral. Lineage: Bacteria; Bacillati; Bacillota; Bacilli; Caryophanales; Bacillaceae.
AACCGCCGAGUACGGAUCCGUACGCUCGGUGGUGGGAGAGGACGGGGGUUAGUCACCCCCUCCUACUCGAU